GUGGGGAAUCUUGCGCAAUGCACGAAAGUGUGACGCAGCAACGCCGCGUGAGGGAAGAAGGCCUUCGGGUUGUAAACCUCUUUCAGUUGGGACGAAGCUCCGUGGGUUAAUAGCUCACUGGAGUGACGGUACCUUCAGAAGAAGCCCCGGCUAACUACGUGCCAGCAGCCGCGGUAAUACGUAGGGGGCUAGCGUUGUCCGGAAUCAUUGGGCGUAAAGAGCGUGUAGGCGGUUCGGUAAGUCCGCUGUGAAAGUCGGGGGCUCAACCCUCGAAUGCCGGUGGAUACUGUCGGGCUAGAGUGCGGAAGAGGCGAGUGGAAUUCCUGGUGUAGCGGUGAAAUGCGCAGAUAUCAGGAGGAACACCAAUUGCGAAGGCAGCUCGCUGGGACGUUACUGACGCUGAGACGCGAAAGCGUGGGAAGCAAACAGGAUUAGAUACCCUGGUAGUCCACGCCGUAAACGAUGGGCACUAGGUGUGGGGGGUGUCGACUCCCUCCGUGCCGAAGCUAACGCAUUAAGUGCCCCGCCUGGGGAGUACGGCCGCAAGGC
This 549-nucleotide ribosomal RNA is filed under the name uncultured bacterium. Its description in RNAcentral is "bacterial SSU rRNA". It matches the Rfam family "Bacterial small subunit ribosomal RNA", at positions 354 to 894 of the family's 1533-position model. The record is from RNAcentral.